RNAcentral lists this ribosomal RNA (254 nucleotides) under uncultured bacterium. RNAcentral describes it as "partial 16S ribosomal RNA". It matches the Rfam family "Bacterial small subunit ribosomal RNA", at positions 524 to 776 of the family's 1533-position model. The record is from RNAcentral.
UACGUAGGGUGCAAGCGUUGUCCGGAAUUAUUGGGCGUAAAGAGCUCGUAGGCGGUUUGUCGCGUCUGCUGUGAAAACUCGGGGCUUAACCCCGGGCCUGCAGUGGGUACGGGCAGACUAGAGUGCGGUAGGGGAGACUGGAAUUCCUGGUGUAGCGGUGGAAUGCGCAGAUAUCAGGAGGAACACCGAUGGCGAAGGCAGAUCUCUGGGCCGUGAACUGACGCUGAGGAGCGAAAGCAUGGGGAGCGAACAGG